RNAcentral lists this long non-coding RNA (1419 nucleotides) under Betta splendens (Siamese fighting fish). RNAcentral's name for it is "lncRNA (ENSBSLG00000017895.1)". The record is from RNAcentral. Lineage: Eukaryota; Metazoa; Chordata; Actinopteri; Anabantiformes; Osphronemidae.
AUGGAUGACAUCAAGCUGUACGCCAAGAGUGAGCGAGACAUCGACUCGCUGAUCCACACCACCAGGAUCUACAGCUCGGACAUCGGGAUGUCAUUCGGGCUCGAGAAAUGUGGGAGGAUGGUGACAAAGAGAGGCAAGGUAAUCCACACAGAAGGGGUCUCACUCCCAGAAGGAAGAAUAGCAGACAUUGAGGACAAUUACAAGUACCUUGGAAUACCACAGGCAAACGGCAACCUUGAACAGGCAACAAGGAAUGCGGCAACAGCCAAAUACCUCCAACGAGUAAGGCAAGUCCUAAGAAGCCAGCUCAAUGGCAAGAACAAAUCCCGGGCAAUAAACAGCUACGCUCUGCCAGUGAUCAGAUACCCUGCGGGAAUAAUAAGGUGGCCAAAGGAAGAGAUACAGACCACAGAUGUUAAGACACGAAAGCUCCUCACCAUGCAUGGAGGGUUCCACCCCAAAUCAAGCACCCUGAGACUGUACGCUAGCGGCAAGGAAGGAGGCCGAGGACUAGUGAGCGUGAGAGCCACUAUCCAGGAUGAAACAUCCAAGAUCCAUAAGUACAUCAAGGAUAAGGCCCCGACAGAUGACGUGCUGAGUGAAUGUCUCAGGCAGUGGAGAACAGAGGAUGAGAUGCUGGAAGAGGGACCAUCAUGGGAGGACAAGCCCUUGCACGGGAUGUACCACCGGAACAUAACUGAAGUGGCUGAUCUCAACAAAUCCUACCAAUGGCUUGAAAGGGCUGGGCUGAAGGACAGCACAGAGGCACUCAUCCUGGCUGCACAGGAGCAGGCCCUGAGCACCAGAGCCAUAGAGGCCCAGAUCUACCACACCAGACAAGACCCAAGGUGUAGACUGUGCAAAGAGGCCCCAGAGACGGUCCAGCACAUAACUGCAGGGUGUAAGAUGCUGGCAGGCAAAGCAUACAUGGAACGCCAUAACCAAGUGGCUGGCAUAGUAUACAGGAACAUUUGCGCGGAGUAUGAACUGGAAACCCCAAGGUCAAAGUGGGAAACACCUCCCAAGGUGGUAGAGAACGAGCGAGCCAAGAUCCUGUGGGACUUCCAGACUGACAGAAUGGUAAUGGCGAACCAACCAGACAUUGUGGUGGUGGAUAAAGAGCAGAGGAAAGCCGUAGUGGUGGAUGUGGCAAUACCAAGCGAUGGCAACAUCAGGAAAAAGGAACAUGAGAAACUAGAGAAAUACCAAGGGCUCAGAGAAGAACUGGAGAAGGCUUGGAGGGUGAGGGCCACAGUGGUGCCUGUGGUGAUCGGAGCACUGGGGGCUGUGACCCCCAAACUGGAGGAGUGGCUACGACAGAUCCCUGGAAAAACAUCCGAAAUCUCAGUCCAGAAAAGUGCAGUCCUAGGAACAGCAAGGAUACUGCGCAGAACCCUCAAGCUCCCUGGCCUCUGGUAG